Molecule: long non-coding RNA, 5323 nt
Organism: Mustela lutreola (European mink)
Lineage: Eukaryota; Metazoa; Chordata; Mammalia; Carnivora; Mustelidae
Exons: 5
Source: RefSeq, a predicted model, not a curated record
CGCUCCGCCCCGUCCACGCCCUACGCCCCGCCCCCCGCCCUGGCCGUCCGGGGCUGGGAGACUGGGUAGCGGCUGCGAGAGGCGGGAUCUUCGGGAGCGCAGGGAACGCUGGGAGCCGGGCGGUGACAGUCCCGAGCGUGCGAAAGCCGCCGACUCCGGAGAAAUCCCCCUCCUCCAGCCGUCUUCAUGCAUCUUCAUCAGAAGUAGAAUCCAUCUCAAGAAACUGCUUUCUUUGCUCAUCCGGCUAAAAAGAUGUCCUCUGAUCCAUAUUCAGCCCUAUUAUUGAGGACAACAUCUUGGAGAUUAUGAUUGAGGAACAAGGUAAACUCUACACCCAGCAUGGGCCUUGAACUAACAACCCCAAGAUCAAGAGUCUUACGCUCCACCAACUGAGCCAGCCAGGAGUCCUCAAAAUUCCAAGUUCUUAAUCCAGAUAGUGCUAUGAUGAAGGAAAUGAGACUGGUAGUAUGAAAGCCUCCAUGAAGAGGUUAUUGCUGUGAAACAAACAUGAGCCUGAAGCAGACCAGGAUGUUGAAUGUGGAAAUGAAGGAAAAAUGAAGAGGAAGGAAAAUAAUUAAGAGAAAUUACAAAGAGAAGGUAUAGACCUUGGUGACCUUGGCUUCGCCUUGGCUUGGCCUUGGCUAUAGGGAAUUAAGGAGAACCAGGAGGCAAAGAAAAGUCUCAAAUAUCUAACCUGGAAAAGCAGGAAUUGCUGGCAGAAAAAUGAAAAUAUGGAGAUUAACUUAGAAAAAAAUCAUAAAUAGAGUGUGGCAGCAGACCUAGAUCCCUCCAUCACCAAUGUUGCCUCUAGUCCCUCCUAUCCAACAUGAGUCCAUGUACCACCAUUUCUAAAGCAAACUUCAGGGGCAAGGGACAGUCCCUAAAGGAAGGACUGUAGCUCUGAGAAACUUGCCCACUCACCUAUUUUCAUUUAAGGAACUGAAACAUAAGGCUUGUGAACACCCAGAGAAAUGAAAUCUUAGUACAUGAGAACUCUAAAAGCGAUUCUAAAACACUCAUUUUUCAAAAUAUUCAUUCAUUUUUCAAAUGCCUCUCUCUCUGUAAUCUCUAUGUUUAUAUUGUUUGAGCCCUACAGGAUUACAUAUGCUAGUUUUGCAUGUAUCACACUGCCUGUAAGUAUGACACAGCAUACUAACUUGGUUUCUGUAACAGUAGUACUACCUGAUGUUUCACAAACAUGAGGUCCAAUAAUUACUUGCACAGAUUUAGAAUUAGCAUUUUUCAGAACUGGUAAUAAAGCCAUCAUUAAAGUCAUAUGACGUUUCUGAUAUGUCUCAACAGAGUUAAAUUUUAGGUUGGAAGGAACCUUAGAGAAAUUGAGGCAUAGAAAACUUGAGUACUUUGCCCAUGUUCACGGAGCUAAUUAGUUGCUGAGUUGAGACUUGAAAUUAGACCUCCAAACUCUUAGUUUGGAUCUUUUCUCCCCUACCACAAUGGGUUUCCAAAUGUGAUCUAAAACAUAAAGCAAUAUAAAAAUAUUCAUUAGCUAACAACUAGCAGCCAUAAUCUCACUAAGAAAAAUGCUAACAUAUAGAGUGCUUAGCAGUCAUAGGCCUUAUAUCUUUUAAGAUUCUCGUUUUUCCCCAAGAGUUCUUAAUUCAGCAUCUCUGUGGAAAAAGUAAAAAUAGCUCCUUUAACAUGUUUUAUUAAAGGCACUGACUCUGUCUUAUUCAUCAUUUGUUCUCUCUAAGGUUUAGCACAGUGCUCUGAGUAUUGUAGCUGCUCAGUAAGUUUUAUUAAAGGCACUGACUGUGUCUUAUUCAUCAUUUGUUCUCUCUAAGGUUUAGCACAGUGCUCUGAGUAUUGUAGCUGCUCAGUAAAUAUCAUUUUUUUAAUAUCAUUUUUUUAAAAAAGAUUUUAUUUAUCGGGGCACCUGGGUGACUCAGUGGGUUAAAGCCUCUCUGCCUUUGACUCGGGUCAUGGUCCCAGGAUCCUGGGAUUGAGCCCCGCAUUGGGCUCUCUGCUCAGCAGGGAGCCUGCUUCCUCCUCUCUCUGACUCCCUCUCUGCCUACUUGUAAUCUCUGUCUGUCAAAUAAAUAAAUAAAAAUUAAAAAAAAUUUACAACAUCGAAAAUAUACAUCUAGAACAUUCUAAAGACAUAUUGGGGAAAAGAAAAAUGACCUGUAAUUCUACCUCACUAAUACAGAUGUCACCAAUGUGCUGGUGUGAGAAUGUAUGUAUGUGUUUCCUUCUAGAGCUUUUUUAUAUACAAGCUUUGAUGUAUUUCUUCUGCUAUUAUUUGGUCAUAGCAAAAAACUAAAGCACAGGAAAUGAGACUAAAUUAAAAUGACCUCACCCCCAGCUCUGCAAAAAAAUAUCCAAGAGUAAUGGUUGGAUGUGUAUCCUCGCAUAACUUUUUUUUGUUUAUUUUAUAAAGCUACAAUCAUGAAUGGUAUACAUACAUAAAAUUUGGUAGCCUUUGAAAAAAAUAUUAUUCAUAUUUUCCUGUGUUGCUAUAGUUUUAUGUGUGUGUAUUUUGGGAUUUUUUGUUCGUUCGUUUGUUCGCUCCAUAGUUUUUAUACUAACCUGUUUAGGAAGGAUGUUGUGGGAUGUCUGGGUGGCUCAGUUGGUUAAGCAUCUGCCUUUGUCUGAGGUCUUGGUCCCAAGGGUACUGGGAUUGAGCCCAGCAUGGAGCCCCUUAUUGGGCUCCCUGCUUCUUGGAGAGCCUGCUUCUCCCUCUCUCCUCUGCUUGUGUUCUCAUUCUCUUGCUUUCUAUCAAAUAAAUGAAUGAAAUAUUUAAAAAUUUUUUUUAAAAAGGAAGGAAGUUGACUAGAGAAUGGAUGUCCUAGGAAACUGGAAAUUGUUCCAAAGUUUAUAGGUCUUAAUGAGGUUAAAAACCAGAUUUUGCAUGACAAGUUGGAAAAAUAGGGAAUUAUGAUCUGAAAAUUAGGCUUUCUAAGUUGCAGCAUAAGAAAGGCUUAUAUUUGUUAACUAACAACUGAGAUUGAAGACAAACAUGACUUUCAUCCAAUAAUUUAAUUAUUCUAACUAUUUCAUCUAAUAUUUACAGCCAACUAUCAAAAACUCUAAUGAGGUUCAAAAUGUAAUAAACCCGAUUUUGGAUUUUACAGAUAAUACUUUUUCAUUUUUAUGGCAAACAUAUAUACGUUUACCUAUAUUUAGUCAUAUUAAAAAUUGUAUAUCAAGAUCAUAAAUCAUAAAAUAAUACUUCAAUAUUAUUGGGUAUGUUUUGAAUACAUUUUUUGUCUUAAAGGUGAUAUGAUGUAGGUUGCAUCCUUUCUCUAAGUGGUUGUUUUUGGGUUCUGCAUAUAUAAAUGAAAAUUAAUGGGGUGCGUGGGUGGCUCAGAGGAUUAAAGUCUCUGCCUUCAGCUCAGGUCAUGAUCCCAGGGUUCUGGGAUCAAGCCCCGUCUUGGGCUCCCUGCUCAACAGGAAGCCUGCUUCUCCCUCUCUUUCUGCCUGCCUUUCUGCCUACUUGUGAUGUCUGUCUGUCAAAUAAAUAAAAUCUUAAAAAGAAAUUAAACUUAAUAAAUAUUGAAUUAACCAAUGAUUAAAUACUUACCACAUCCCAAACACUGUGCUAGGCCCUUGGAAUAUAGAGAAGAAAUUAUGCAUCGGCACUGAAGACCUUCCAGCUAGGACACAGACCUGCCAUUCAAUAUAGGAUAUUUAGAGCUGAAAUAGGGACAGAGUAUGAUAAAGCAUGGAGUCUUUUCUCCUGCUUUGCUGAGCCCAGAAGACCUGCCCUUCUGUCCAACACAAUAUCACACUUUGUCACGUAGGCCUCAAAUAGGACUGCUUAUGCACAAAGUCUCACAAAAAUCUAUCAUGAAUAUGGUUCCUUUAUCUUUUGGCUCUAACCUCCUCCUCUGCUGUGACUCUAAAUCAUCAUCAGGCUGGUGAUAGUGACAGACAUUUCCCAUCUCCUCAACUGGCCUUUUUUCUCAUCUGUCUCUUGAACCUCCUUAUACCAGGACACUUUCAUAUUUUUGCAGCCACAAAGCAAAUUUCACCAUAUAAAUGAGCUCAUGUUGGAGGAAGCAGAGAGUGAAAGUGGCAUCUAACUUCAUUUUUAGCAUUUGAGCUCUAAUGAGAACACCCUGGUAAUCCAGGAGAGAAAACUCAUGGGCUCAACAACAUGGAAGAUGGACUAAGGGAAGUACAAGACUAGAGGCAGGUGACUGUUAGGGAAAAUAGUUGUAAUAAUGGUGGGUAGAGAAGGUAAGUGUGUGAUUUGAGGCAGUGGCUUUGGAAAAUAAAUAUUUGGGGCGGUAGGAAAAUAGAAUUUCCAGGUUUCUUCUUUGAGGAACUGUAUUAAUUAUGGCGUCAUUCAGUGAUCUAGGAGGAAUGAUCCAGGGAAAAGGGGUGUCUCCUUUUGUAUUACAGUAAAUCCUAGUAUUAAAAGGCCCCAGUCUAUCAUUCUUUCUCCUCUUCCCCCUUUUUCAUGAGCUUUGAUUUUGUUUGGCUUAUCUACCCUGCUACAAAUGCCAUCUUCGUUUUUAACUCAAUCACAAUAGUCCCAUCUUGAGCCAAAAAGUGGUUUAGGAAUUGGCAAAUGAUACAAUUCUGACUGAUAUAGGAGGGGAAAUUUGCUAGGGAGAUUCUGGAAUACAUGUUUGUUUGUUUUUUUUUCAUUAAUGAAAAGAGAUACCCAGGAAUUCCCUGGACUUUGUUGUGUCUGCAUGUGACAAGUAAACUAGAGAAUCCAUUUUAAGACCACGAAUUAAAAUAAAAAUUAAAAAAAAAAAAGAUUUAGAAGGAAUCUGAGUUUUUGAUGACAUGGUUAGCUACUGAGUUGGAAUCAUCUCACCUCAGACUGCUUGUUAUAUGAGGUAAUAAAUACUCCCAUAUGGUUCAAGCCAGUUGAGUGGAUGGCUCCUGUUUGCAGCCCAGAAUGAUUUAAGAAGCACAGAACUGUCCCUAAAAGAGAAUUCUGGCUAGGCUUGUAAUUACUUGGGAAUAAGAUCUUUGGGUCUAGAGCCUCAAUAGUCCAACCAAUGGCCAAGAGCAGUUCAUAUUGAGAAGGUGUAUCAACUCUUUGAGGUCUGAGAUCUCUGAAAAUGGUCUCCACUAAAAUAUAUUAUUUCUUUAAAGUAGGCAUUUAAUUAUAUUAAUAGUAAGUUAAGAUAGUACUUUAAUUUUCACUUCCUAUAUUAUAGUUACUGUAUACAUACUGUUGCUUAAUACUACUGAGAGAUUCAGAAAUAGAACCCAGCACCUAGGCCAAAAUGGAAGUUCACAACUUCAACAAAGCCCUUUGAGAAAAAGUACAGGAAAUAAAAGUCAACCAAACAGGAAGUAAGCAGAGUAGAACACAGCAGCCGGAAAUAUUUGAGCCUCACAU